This 29336-nucleotide long non-coding RNA is filed under the name Cucumis sativus (cucumber). RNAcentral describes it as "long non-coding RNA (CSAT_LNC002307)". Lineage: Eukaryota; Viridiplantae; Streptophyta; Magnoliopsida; Cucurbitales; Cucurbitaceae. The record is from RNAcentral.
UAGUAACCAUAUUCACAAGAUGACCCUUACGGAGAAUGAAGAGAAUGCUAAUUCAUCCAACACCAAAACGCCUGACAUCAAGAACAAAAAUAUUCAACAACAAGAACAAGAUAUCAACCUUCAAAUCUGCGCAUCAACUUCUCAAGAACAAAACAUAGAGAUAGUUUUGACUAACGAAGAAUUGGUGAGAUCACCCAAACGUUCAAGAAUCACAGAAUCAGACGAAGCAGAGUCAUCCAAAAAUAAUGAACAAGAAUCUUAUUUUUUUUUGGGUUGCGAAGAUUUGGGAGAGGAUCCUCUGUUAGAAGCAGAGGAAAUCCUAUUGAAAUACAACGAUUUUAUUGAGUACGUAUACCAAAUUUUGAAAAACGAUGAAAAGAAACAAGAUUGGAGUGAGAUUGUUAAGAGAGUACAAAAUCUGGCUAAUCUUUUGCAUCUAAAACUGGCAGUAUUGAUUUUUGAUAUAGAAUGUCUUGAACAACAUCCACGUUUUGAGAAGCAAUAUAAUUUCAGAUUAAGUCACAUUCCUAAUAUAAUUACUGUGAUUGAACAAAUAAAUAUAGAAAUUAUUAGUUCCAAGUGUUUCAGUCUUGUUUUGGAUAACAAGAACAGAAGAAAAGUGUUGCCGAUUUGUCUACGGGAGUUCGAGAGAUGGAGGCAACAAUUGAGUCUACUGAUAGAGAAAGUGCAAAGACUGAAGAAAAUGGCUUUGGAAAUAGAUCGUGAUCAUUUGGAAACACAAGAAACAGAUUGAAUCCUAUGGGUUUGUUUUAGGUUUUUUUCUUUGAGAGAUUUCAUUAGAAUUUUUAGUUUCUUUCCAUUUUGGAAUUUAAUUCUUUGCAACUUUUUACUCUCUCAGUUUUUUUGUUGUGGAAUUUCAAGAUGAGUGAUGUAAAAUUAGUGAGUGUUCUUUCCUUGUUUUUAGAAGCUCUAAGGUUGAAGCAUGGCAUCUAUAGUACUCAUACUGUUCUUUCCAAUGCAUUGUCAAUUGUUUUUCCGAAAAAAUGAAAAACUUCAUAAAACAAUACAUUAAUUGUUUCAUUUAGAGCUUAAUUCAACUACACUGAAGUGUGUCAUUAAUGAUGCUAGUCGUGGAUCAUUACAUUCUCUUUACCACUUCCUGCCCUUAAACCAUAGUCCAUAUCUCAUUGGUGAUCAUCCAUGGCUAAUGUGUUCUCUCCUUACUUCACAAUAAAAUGAAUAUGUGAAUGAAUUAAAAAUGCAAUUAAAUGCAAAUGUGGGAUACAAAUUCAUUUCAUGACAACAAAAACAGAAAAAUUAUGAACUUAAAACCAAAACUAAAUUUCAAACGUUACUUAGCUAUCAAAACCAAAAUUUGUUAUUAAAAUAAUAAAUUAGGAAUUUAAAGCAAGAUUAAAUUUCAAGACUUUGUUAGUUUGUUUUUUUAGAAGAAAAAAAUGAAAAUUAGAUGUGGUUACAAAAUAACAAUAACAUUGUCAUUCAACAUUAAUAGGUCUAAAAGUUUAUAUAAACUUCAUUUCAAAAUAUCACGUUUAGAGAGACGCGUUUGUUUUUAUAAUUCAAUAUAUUUGAAAAAAAAUAGGUAUUUUAUAAUUUUGGAAGAAAUUGACAAUAAAAAAGAAACAAAUCACUGAGAAGAAAGAAAAUUUUAGUAGGAAGAUUUACAAAUGACACACUUUUAAAUAACAUUCACUUACUUUCACUCAAACUUUUUUACUAACUCUCUUUCUCUCUUUGCUUACUUGCUUUCAUUGGCAUAGUUCACAGAUGAAGAUCACACCUCCUAUUUAUAGGCAUAAGUUCCUUGGAGUCCAAUCCAAAAGACUUCUCUAAAAUUUUACCUAUUCUAAUAUUUCUCUUUUCCUUAUCUAAAAGAAUUCUCUAUAACUUUUUAUCCAUAUAUUUUAGAUUUCUUCUUCUUUAGUUUACAUAAUUCUAGAAUUUUAAACUAUUCAUUUAAUAUCUCUACAAGAUUCUAGUUAGUGUUGCUAUAUACUUUAACAAUAAAUAUUUUUCUUUUUCUCUAACAAAAUUGUAUACACCAUUCUUAAGUGUAAUAUUAUUUAUUUCUUACUCGAUAAUAGUUUGUCACAAUUAUCAUCAUACAACCAAACAUGUAUGUAACUUUACUGAUUUUGAUCUACAUUAUGAAGCAAAAGACCCAAAGUUUGAAUCUUUAAAUUCUUCCAAAUGAAAUUUUAACGUCUCAACAUUAGAAUUUAAAACAUUGAUUGACACAUUCUGAAUUAUUUAUAACAUUCAUCAUAGAUAAAUAUAUUUUAAUGCAUAAAUAAAACUUUUCAUAUUCAAACUUUUUCAGUUCUAUCUUGUGGAUUGAAUAAAGAUACAUAUAUAUGUAUAUAUAAUUUUUAUGAUAUGAAGUAAAGUUUAAGGCUUUUUGUUCUUAUGAAUUUGACACAAAUUUAUGCCAUAAAAUAUAUUUUAAAGUAAGUAUAAGAAUAGAGGUCAAUCUUCAUGUAUUAAGUAAGAUAACAAAUAUAAAAAUAUUGAAUAUUGUCAUAAUGAAAAUAACCAUUUAACUUUUAUUUUUAAAAAAUUAAAAUAAAAGUUAAUAAUAGGUAAAGAUAUUUUUAAAUAUAGCAAAAAUUAUGUACUAAAAUAAAUACAACAUGAGAAAAGUAUCAACAACUAAAUACAAAAAUAUUAUACACCAAAAUAUGGCAUAAUUACGGCAAUAAAGAGAAUGAAGAGAAUGAUAAUUCAUCUCUAAAUGGCUGACAUCAAGAACAAAAGUGUUGAAGAACAAGAACAAGAUAUCAACCUUCAAAUCGCCAACCUUCAAAUCGGCACAUCGAAUUCUCAAAAACAGAUGGAGAUAUUUUCAAAUAAUGAAGAAUUGGAGAGAUCACCGAAUGGAUCGAGAAACACAGAAUCAAACGAAGCAGGAUCAUCGAAAAAGAAUGAACAAGAAUCUGAUUAUGAUUCUGGUUCUGAUUCGGAUAUGGAUGAUCCUCUGUUAGUAAUAGAGAAAAUUCUAUUGAAAUACAACGAUUUCAUUGAGUACGUAUACCAAAUCUUGAAAAAGUAUGAAGAGAAACAAGAUUGGAGUGAGAUUGUUGAGAUAGUACAAAAGCUGGUUAAAACUUUGAAUCAACAUAUGAUAGUAGUGGAUUUUUAUAUGAAAUGUCUUGAAGAGUUGGGAUGUUUUGAGAAGCAAUAUCAAUUCAGAGAAACUCAUACUCUUAAUAUAUUAGAUGUGAUUCGACAUAUAAAUACAAGAAUUGCAAGUUCGAGUAGUUUUAGACUUGUUUCGGAUAUCAAGAACAGAGGAAAAGUGUUGCCCAUAUGUUUAGGGGAGUUUGAGAGAUCGAGGCGAGAAUUGAGUCUAAUGAUUGAUUCAAUGCAAUUACUGAAGAAACUGGGUUUGGAAUUAGAUCGUGAUGAUGAAACAAGAUGAAGAAGAAACAGAUGGAAUCCUAUGGGUUUGUUUUAGAUUUUUCCUUUGAGAGAUUUCAUUAGAAUUUUUAGUUUCUUUCCAUUUUUUUUUCUUUUACUCUCUCUGUCUCCAAUUUCUUUGUUGUGGAAUUUCAGGAUCAGUGUUCUUGUUUAGUAUAAUUAGUGAAUGGUUUUAAUCAUGCUAUUCAAUUCUGGAUGACAUCUUAAUAUUUCUACGUUUCUGAAUUAGCAUUUUGAGUUGGGAAGGUUGUGUGUAACAAAAAUGUUAAAUAAAGAUGAAGCUUAUUGUUUUUAGAAGCUUUAAGGUUGAAGCAUGAGGUCUAUAGCACUAAUAAUUGAUCGUUGCAUGUUCUUCGCUCCUUCCCCAUUAUCAAGAUAUAUUGAUUGAACAAAGAUAUGUUGUUUAAUUUUUUGUAUGAUAUGAAAUCAAGUUUUUGGUUUUUUCUGAAUUUGGCACAAAUUUAUACCAUAAGAAUAUAUUUGAAGUAAAUAUAAGAAUAGACAUCAAUUAUUAUAAAAAUAUUGCAUAUUAUCAUCUUUAAAUCAAAAUAGAAAUUUAACUUUCAUUUUAAAAAUCUAAAAACAAAAACAAAAAGCUAAUAAUAUCAUGCAUGUUUCUAAAUAUAGAAAAAUGAAAACUAUUUACGAAAUAUAUAAUAAAUCUAUCAAAUUUUGUAGAGGUCGUUUAAUUUUUUUUGAUAAAUAUUUUCAAUUUUUUGCUAUGAAUAAAAAUUUCUCUAAUAUUAAUUUCUAUUGUUUCAAGAGAAUAUUAUUUUUUAUUGUUAGAAUAGGAGGAAAGGAACACAAAAUGAUAUUAUAAUUUUUUUUUAAAAGUAAAAGUGUUUAACUGAAGUAGAAUAUAAUUUUCUAGAGGACAAUUUAAAUUUGAUUUAUUUUUGGUUUUGGGAUUUGAAAAUAGAGGAAAAGAGAAAAAGAGAAGAAACCCAACUGACAAAUAUGGGGAUUAAUUUUGAUGACCUUCAAGAAAAUUUUAAAAUGUUAAUGAUAACUGUUUUAACUUUUUAGUUGACAAUUUCACAUCAACGGAGGCUUAGGCUUUUGUAUUAGAAUAUUAGGAACUAACCUUAUUUUGAGUAAAAGUUCAUUAUCUCAAUUCUUGGAGAGAUUAUAGGCUUUUCCAUAUGAUACCCGAAAGUGUUGAACUCAUUCAAAGAGGGAAUUCUAUGAACUUUCAUGUAGUGGGCAAUGAGAAAAUAGGUGUCUUGAUUUAUCCUCUUGUGCAUGUUCUCAACAAAGCACCCGCCACCCAUUCUGAGAGUACUAGUUAGGGAUAAAUAGUAAGAUUGGUAGGAUAUCAGUAAGGGGUACUAUGAGUAAUCAGUUAGUGGUACCUUAGUUAUAAAUAAGAGGAGUUGGGCACCUUAGGGGGUGGAUCUCUGUGGUGAAAGUUUUGGGACUUUGGGAGAGAGAGAGAGCCCUCUUGAAAAGCUAUUGAUAAUAUAUUGUAACUUCUUUCGGUAGUGAAAUAUAUUACUUUCUUUUGUGUACUUUGUAUUUCCUUACCCUUUUUUUUUUUUGUUAGACUAUACCCUUACAUUUUCCUUAAAGAUAUUAAGCACUUAGCAGACGUUGAUGAUGAAAAUUAGCUAAACUUUGUUCGUGGAUUGUUAUUUUAUUUAAGUACAUAUUACUUAUUGUGAGUAAGGACUACCUUUCUCAAAAGAAGGUUGUAUAAUUUGGUAUUCAUGUUCUUUCCCCCUUCUUCACACGAAAUGGCUACCUGAUCCAAAAUGGAAAAGUCUAAAGGAGAUGAGAAAAUCUUAAGCUACAAUGGUCCAUAUUUUUUGAACAAUCGAAUCAUUGUGUUCUAUUUUAGCUAUCUAAUCACAACUCAUCCUUCCAACGACAUUCCUUCUUUGUUAGGAAUUUGGAAUAAGGUAAAUGACCCUAUUGAUACUCUUUCUAUUAGGUUAAUGAUUCUUCACAUAAUUGAAUGGGUGAUCUCUGGUUUGAUUAAUCUUUGUUCUUUUGAGAAAUUAGAUGUUGUUGUAAUCUUAAGCUACCAUUUGUUGUUAUGUCUUGAUGUUUAGUAUAAUUCAAAAUUAGGGGUAGACAUUCAAAUAUGUGUUGAUGUUUAGUAAUGAUCCUAAACAAAUAUGAAGUAUUUUUUUUUUCUUCAUAAUAUGUUUAACAUUAACAUCCAAUAUCAAAGAACGUUGACAAAUAUAUAUUGAUGUUUAGUAUAAUGAUCCUAAUGUUGAUUAUGUUGUUAAGAGAAAAUUACUUUGUUGUAAAUUGUUAUCAGUUGAGGGUACUGAUAAAUAUCAUGUUGUGAUGCGAAAACAAGGAAAGAAAUGGCAAGCCAAGCAGCUAAUUCUAUCAAUGGCGACAUGAAGGCAAACCUUCUGUACUUUUUUACACUCAUACAUAUUAAUCAUCUUAAAAAAGAUAGUGUCUACUCAUGUAUUUUAUACAGUUUAUUUGGACGGAGCAUAUAUCAACGAAAUGAUGCUGAGAGGUAUGGUUUUCUUAUUCAAAAUAUGUCAUUCUCAUCAUUUUUUUUGGUUGAGUAAAACAUUUGCUUCUAGAAUGGUAUGGAGUUUUUUUCUAUGUUCAAAAUAUACUUGCUCUUUAUAUAUAUCUUUUUUAUUCUUAUGACAUUAUCUGUUAAUCAUUUUUAAAAAACUAUUGAUACGUUAUUAGGACUAAUUCUGUGUGCGUUGGAAAUUUUAGGAUGUUGCUGUGAAGAUUCUGAUGGAAGAAGAUCUUCAUGCAAAACGUUUUGAUGAGUUUCUUAGGGAGGUACAUGUCCAAAUUUUUAAACCCAUAGUAUUUUGAAGCUAAUUUUUGAACAAUAUGCUCUACUUGCAAGUAACCAUUCAGUAGGUUCAAUCACUUUUCUGCAUUUCUAGGUUGCCAUAAUGAAAUGUCUAUGACAUCCAAACAUCGCUCUCUUUAUGGGUGCAUUCACAGAACCUUCAAACUUGUCCAUGGUAAAAGAACACUCUUCUUUCGUCAUCUUUGUCAUAGAUUAUUGUUGAAACAACUAGUUACUAUGGAUUGCUAUGGUGCUACUCUACCCCAUCACGGUAUAGUCUCAUCUUUCUUUGUGGUUUUUCCUUGACUUUGAAGAAUAGACAUGUAAAUUUGUUUCAGUAGACAAGGAUGCAAUACUUUUCUUCCAAAAUUAUAUAUAAUGGACAUACAUAUUGGACAUUAUGUGUAUAAAUUUGGUGAUUAGGUAAAAUUCCUAACUAUACAAUUGUACAUCUCUUUUUCAGAUUGAAACUCAUGACUACAUGACCAUGGUUCAAGCAACAAAGAAUAUUUUUAGAGGUGAAGGAUUAUCGGUUGGUUGUUCAUGUUUGUACAGAAAAUCAUGUUAUAUGUAUUAUGAUGUACUAUUUCACUGGUUUUGAUUAAGGGCGGUAAUUUCAAACUUGUAAAUUGUUCAAAUUUAAUUGAAAAUGUAUGAAUAUUACAAAGUGUAUUAUAGCAUAUAUAUAUAUAUUAUAACAUUAUUGUCAUUCAAAUGGUUCGUGUAAUGGCGGAGCGACAAGGAGAACAAGAAGAACGGUAGUAAUUGAGAAAUUUGCAACAGAAUAAAUGUCAUAAUAUAUGAAUUUGUUACAUCUCAUAAUUGUCGUCAAUAUUAAAACAAUGACAUUUUUGUUAUAAAAAAACUGUCACAAUUGCUCUAUACUUGACCGGAAAAAAAUGUCGUCAAUUUCGAAAAGAUGUCAUUUAUUUUUUUAAAAAAAAACUAUCACGAUUGACAUAUCUUUGACAUUUAAAAAAUGUCAUAAUAAACGAAUUUGCGACAUCAUUUUAAAUGUCGUUAAUACGCAAAUGAUGUUAUAAUACAUAACACCCAUAUAGAAACAUAUGACAGUUAUUUGUUGUCAUAAAAUAGUAAUUAACGACAUUUAUUUUCUGUCAUGAAAAAACUUAUUGCGACAGUUUUUGAAAACUGUCAUGGAAGAACUUUUCAUGAUUCUCGAUACUAUGACUGUAAAUAACUGUCACAAAUUUUAUUCGUGACAGAAAAUAACUGUCGUUGUAGACAAUUUUUGUUGUAGGACAUACGACAAAUAUAUUGAAGUUGAGACAAUGUUAAAAUUUAACUAAUAAACAAAUGAAAGUAACUCUAUAUCAAAUAAAUUUAAGUAGUCGAAAGAAGUGUGUGAGCAAUUGGCACUAAUUGCAAUUUCUCAAACACUUUCGAUUGCUAGGUUCAAAAAAGGAAAUUAAUCAACUUUGAUUUUCGAAACAAAUUGUAAAUGUUACUGAGUUUAUAUUGGUAGUUAUUAUUAUAUCCUCAAACUUUACAGGGGUAAAAUCGAACCCUCAAACUUCUAUCUAUAUUAAAAUUAGACUCUAGAACUAUAUGAUUGUGAUGUUGUUUAGCAAUUGAUCGAGUUAGGUAAAUAUUAAAACUCUCUUCACCCUUAAUCUUUUAUAACAAUUAAUGUCUUAAAAAUGGAGAAGUUAAAUUUUGAAGGAAAAAAAUUAAUUGUUUUGAAAAUUAUGUAAGAGUUGAAGUCAUGCAAUUACAAAUGUAUAUAGAAAUAAAAUAGAGAAAAAGUAGUUUUGAUGUUAAAAGAAAAAAGAAAAAGGGGAAAUGAUAAUGGAAGGUGUCUCUAUAUAUAAAUGAUAUUCAGCAGUGGGGAGAGUUCAAUUUUUCUGAUUGAAUUCUUCUUAACCAUAUUCACAAGAUGACCGAUAAAGAGAAUGAAGAGAAUCCCAAUUCAUCCAACUCCAAACUGCCUGACAUCAAGAACAAAAAUGUUCAACAGCAAGAACAAGAUAUCAACCUUCAAAUCCGCACAUCAACUUCUCAAGAACAGAAGAUAGAGAUAGUUUCCACUAACGAAGAAUUGGUGAUCAGAUCACCCAAUCGACCAAGAAUCACAGAAUCAGACGAAGCAGAAUCAUCCAAAAAGAAUGAACAAGAAUCUGUUUCCUAUUUGAAUUGCGAUGAAUUGGGGGAGGAUCCUCUGUUAACAACAGAGAAAAUCCUAUUGAAAUACAACGAUUUCAUUGAGUACGUAUACCAAAUUCUGGAAAAGGAUGAAAAGAAACAAGAUUGGAGUGAGAUUGUUGAGAGAGUACAAAUGCUGGAUAAAACUUUGAAUGAACAUCUGAGUUAUGUGGAAAUUAGUAUGGAAGUUCUUGAAGAAAUGGGAGGUUUUGAGAAGCAAUAUGAUUUUAGAAAAAUUCAUAUUGUUGAUAUAUUAGAUGUGAUUCAAAGUAUAAAUAAAGGAAUUGCAAGUUCAGGUAGUUUCAGACUUGUUUCGGAUAUCAAGAACAGAGGAAAAGUGUUGCCGAUUUGUCUAGGGGAGUUCGAGGGAUGGAGGGAAGAUUUGAUUCAACUGAUUGAAUCAAUGCAAACAGUGAAGAAAAGGGCUAUGGAAGUAGAUCGUGAUAAUGACACAAAGCGACCAAUGGAAGAAGAUGACGAAGAAACAGAUUGAAUCCUAUGGGUAUUUGUGUUGUAAUCUCACAAUCUAACCCUCCUUUUCUACUCUUAAAGUCUCCUUAAAUCUCUUUUCUCCCUUCUCCCCACCUAAUCUAAUCCAUCUUCUUUCUCUCAUUUUCUAUGGAUUGUCGUCCUUUACUCAAACCUUGUCUACACAUUUAAAAGUGUUCAUAUUCUUAUGUGCGCUUUGUUUGAUUUUUCACUUUCCUUUCAAUCUCUUUAAGUUCAAAUCUAUAUCCAAUAAAAGGAUGAAGAAAAUCAAAUUUUAAAAUCCAAAUUAUCAUAAUCAUAUCUAUAAAACUAACAUCUUUCAUUGCCCUUCAACAAAAUUGGAAUUAACUGUGAUUAGUUAUUAUUUAACUAAGCAUUUCAAAAAGCUCUUAAACAUGAUUUAUGAGUUUUUAAAAAUAAAACCUUGAUUGCUUAUCAUUUGUUGUUAAGAAUCUUGAAAGUCUCACAUGGAUAAUCAACUUAACUAUAAUUCUAAAUUUUUGUUGGUGGUUUUAAAGAAGAAGUAUUAAUUACUGAUGGGUUAAAAUUCUUAUUUUAGUCUCUAAAGUUUUCAUUUGUUUUAUUUUGAUCCUUCAACUUUUAUAAGUUUCCAAACUUUUAAAAAGCGAUAAAAUUUCAUUAACUCUAUGUAGUAGAAUGAUGACAUGCAUUCGACUUUAACCCUAUCUUGCUAAUUUAUUUUAUAAAUAUUUCUAUGCCAACAUAGAAAUAUAUUUAAUACAUUUUUAUUAAAUAAACACAAAUUCAAAACUAUUUUUUUCUUUUUUUCCAAAACUUAAAUCUCUCACGUCUCCUCUCGAUUCCUCCUUAUUUAUUUACUUACUUAUUUUUCAAAUUAAAAUAUAACUUGAAGCAUAUUAGAAAAAUGACAUUGAGUAAAAUAAAAAAUAAAAUAGAACGUGAUAGUGUUUAACAUUCACGACAAGAUAAAAUAAAUUAGAAAAAUAUAAUAAGUACAAUACUUAUUUAAAAUAAACUCUACAAAUAUGUCAACUACUAUUUUUUUUCGGAGAAUAAGAGACAUUGAGUUCAAAUCCCUUUACCUCAUGUGUACUUACAAGAAGAUCUUAAAAAAAAAAAAAAAUGAAAACCCACAAUUUGAAAUAACAAAAAUACUUGAAAUUUAUGAAAAUUCUACGUAGUACCAAAACUUUAUUUUUUGGAUAAAUUUUGACUAAGUGAUACUCAUGGCUAGCAUGUCUUAUACUGUGUGUUUUGGUCUAUUUCUUACUUUCUAGCGAGGUGAUUUGUUUGUCUUGGUUAAAAUGGUUUUCUAUAUGGUUUUGGUGGAUGUUUUGAUUUGGGCUCAUUCGAAGGGCUGUUUUUGUGCAUUAUUUUUGGAAGGACAUUUUUCUAACGACGACAAUCAAAAUUCAGAAAACAGUUACUUUUUUAGUUUUCCAACAAAACGUCAAUUUGUAACGUGACAGUUAACUAAAAAAUAAAACUUUAGCAUUUAAUUAAAAAAAUUAAUUUACCAUCAACAUUUAACUAAAAAUUAAAACCUUUAGUUAAAAGAAAAACGAAGAUAUGCUCUUUUUAGAAAUUUAAAAAUUAAAAAGGAAGAUUUUUAAAGGUUGAUGGGACCAAAAUAGAAUGAAUUUAUACCUUACUAAUAUAUAAUAAUUAAAAUGAGUAAAAAUGUAAUUAUAAAAUAUUUGGAUCGAUAGAGUUGUCCAAUUUUAUUUGAAAGAUAGUGACCUUAUAAAUUAUAUAUAUAGAUAAUUUUCCUCAUCUUUCUUCUUUCUCCUUCACUCCUCCCACUCCCACUUCCACUUCCCACCACCAAUUUCUUUUCUUUAAAAGAAUUAUAUUAGAUUAUUAACACACAGUAAUAUAUAUAUAAAUAUAUAUAUAUAUAUAUAUUAAAAAGGCAUAAACACUAUAUUUAUAAUUUUAAAAGUGAAUAGACUAAAUGGAUAUACACUUUAGUAAAUCUAUAAGAGACUAAAUUGAUAAAUGAAAUCAAAUUGAAGAAAAGCAAAAUGAACACAAAUGUUGGAACUAUUAUGGUCUAAACCAAAAAUGAAAAAGGGAAAAUCAUAUAUUUAGUUUGGUAAUUGGAUGAAUAUGUACAUUUCUUUUCUAAAAUACAUUGUUGAUGGUGUAUAACAAUUUAGAAUAAAAGUAAAAAGUUAUUUGAGAGUAAAACUAAAUAAAUCAAUUUAUAUAAAGAAAGAUAUAUUUUUAAAAAUCAAAAGACCAGAAGGACUAAAAAGGUCAUAUUUCGAAAAUAAAAAAAUAAAAAAAAAUGCUGAGUCACCAUUAAGCUUGCCACGAGUAAUUCGCUGCGUUCUUUCACCAGGUAGAGGAGGGGAUAGAUAAGCUAACUGGAAGCAGCCCUCAAUUCCCAAACCAUUUGUUAGGUAAUGAGAACAACUACAACCACUUUUUCUUCUUCUUUUUCCCUCCCCAGUCUUCCCUUUUCUAUUUUCCAACCAACCACACAGAUUCCAAUUAUAACAAAGAAUCUUUGAAUAUUCCAUCCAUCCUCAUGGCCUGGUUCAGGAAUCUCAACAAACUUUCACCCUCUAAACCACCACUCAGAUCCACAAAUCCCCACCCAUUUCUUCCUUCCACCACCCCCUUCACCUUCCUCCUCUCUCAUUUUAGCUCCCAACCCAUUUCCGAUGCGUCGGCGUCAGCGGAGGCACUGUCUCGCCCUCCCGGUCUCGGUCCGACGGCCUCCGGCGAGAAACCGAGGGUGGUGGUUUUGGGUUCCGGUUGGGCUGGUUGUAGACUCAUGAAGGGGUUGGACACAAGCAUAUACGACGUCGCUUGCGUUUCUCCUCGUAACCAUAUGGUUUUCACUCCUCUUUUGGCUUCAACCUGCGUUGGAACUCUCGAAUUCAGAUCCGUCGCUGAACCCAUCGGCCGGAUUCAGCCUUCCAUUUCUCGCGAACCGGGUUCCUAUUUCUUCCUUGCAAAUUGUACGAGCGUUAACACUGAUGAACAUUCGGUAUGCUUCUCAAUUGCUUACAUAAUAUUCUCAAUUGGUUUAUGAAUCUAGAAUCGAAUGCACGAUUCUGAGUUUCUUCUGAGAAGGAGAUUGUUUUAUUUGUUGUUGAAAGGUACAAUGCGAGACGGUUACUGAUGGGUCGAACACUUUGGAACCGUGGAGGUUUAAAUUAUCAUAUGAUAAGUUGAUCAUAGCGUUGGGAUCUCAGCCAUUAACUUUUGGGAUUCAUGGGGUUAAAGAACAUGCUAUUUUUCUUCGUGAGGUCUAUCAUGCUCAAGAAAUUCGUAGGAAGUUGCUUUUGAACUUGAUGUUAUCUGAUGUUCCAGGUAUUGGAUUGAUGGUUUUGUUAGAACUUGGUAUUAAGAAUUAUUCUUCCUCUUUUCUCAGUCGAGAUAAUUUGGUGUAUGUGAUUGGCAGGUAUCUCAGUGGAAGAGAAACGUCGGCUUCUACACUGUGUUGUUGUUGGAGGGGGUCCAACUGGAGUUGAAUUCAGUGGGGAGCUUAGUGAUUUUAUCAUCAAGGAUGUUACUCAAAGAUAUUCUCAUGUGAAAGAUUAUAUCCAAGUUACUUUGAUUGAGGUUUGUAAAAAUGUCGACCCGAGUAUCGAAAUCUUUACACGUAAUACACCAUGUGCGUUGUUAUUGAUCUCGGUUUCUCGAAGUUUUGUCUGAGCUGUUUCUCUAUAUUAGGUUGUUGAGCUUUUAAUAUCUCUGGAAAGAAAAAGUUGACAUUUGUUUAGAGAGGAAGGUGUUGUCUGGGAAGUUUAAUGGAUAUAUAUUUAGGAUUUGAAAAUUUUCACUUGCUUGUAUUUGUUUAAUUGUUUAACAGGCAAAUGAGAUAUUGUCUUCCUUUGAUGAUCGCCUUCGGCACUAUGCCACUAAGCAAUUGACAAAGGUAGGGAAGUUAAUACAUCUAAGUUAUGCCUUUCUCUUUCCUUAGUGAUGGUGACAAUAGGUUUCAAUUUCACCUUUUUUAGGAUACUUUGAAUUUGAAAUUCUUUCAUCUCAUUUUUUCAUAUCCCGCAGUCAGGAGUUCAACUUGUUCGUGGAAUUGUCAAAGAUGUUAAACCUCAGAGCAUCAUUCUCAAUGAUGGUUCUGAGGUUCCUUAUGGGUUGUUGGUUUGGUCUACUGGUGUUGGGCCUUCUCCAUUUGUAAAUUCCUUGGAAGUUCCAAAGUCUCCUGGUGGCAGGUAAGUUGAAAUAUACAAGUAACUUAUCCAAAAUGUUUGUGUUAGACCAUCAAUAACCCACCAUCAUAGUAGGAGAAGAAAUAAGAUAGAAAAUAGAAAAUAGGAGGGAGAGUGAGUUAGUUAUUAUGUAACUGACUAGGAGGGAACCACAACGAGUGGAAAGGGGGAUAUAAAUAGAAAGUGGAAGAGAGAGAAAAGGCAUUGAGUAUUUUGUGGAGGAAUUCAUUUAUGUAUAUUUUUGAAAGAGAGAGUAACAGAGUGAAAGUUUAGUUUUUCUUCAUCCAAUUGAACUUCAUAUUCAAUUUGAUUUCUAUAUUGUAAUUCCUAUUACUUUCAAUAAAGUGAGUUCAUAUACUAUACAAUCUGUGUUGGAGGAUUGAGUUUCAACAAAUUGGUAUCAGAGCAAGUUGAUCUUGGGGGAAGAAUUAUCAUGGUACAGACGAGGAUCAAAGAAAGAUUGGAGGCGCACGAUCAAGAACUGAUUGGUAUUAAGAAGGAACUUAGCAAGUUGCCAGCGAUGGAGGAGAAACUAACGUCGAUUUCGAAAAAUAUGGAGGUUCUUCAAGCCCAAUCAGAGAAAACUCACCAGAUGAUGUUGUUCUUCAUGGAAUUGAUAGCAAAGGAACGAUCGGUAGCAAGUGGUAAGACAGUUGAAUCGGCGGAACAAGAAACAUCACCGACGAAAUCUAAAUAAGGAGAAGGCUCAAUGAGCAAGGAAAUGAUAAGCGAAACUAGGAGAAGAAAAAUGAAAACAAAGACGAAAGUCUUGAUCGGCACAAAUUUAAAAAAGUUGAAAUGUCAGUCUUCAACGGAGACGAUCCAAACUUAUAGUUGUUUCGCGCAGAUAGAUAUUUUCAAAUACAUCGGUUAUCCGAUUACGAGAAGCUCAUUGUAGUGACGGUUAGUUUUGAAGGCCCGACCCGACACUGGUAUCGAUCUUAGGAAGAGAGAUAAGUUUACUGACUGGUUAAUUAUGAAGGAACUAUUAUUAAUCUGAUUUCAUUCGAUAAGUGAAGGUUCUCUUUAUAACCGGUUUCUGCGAAUUCAACAAACACCAAGCAUGGAUGAACAUCGAAAUCUUUUCGAUAAGUUGGUUGCCCCUUUAUCAGAUAUUCAGGAGAAAAUCGUGGAUCAAGGAUGAAGUGGAAUUUUGUCGAUCGGUGGGGUUAUCACAGAUGAUGAAGUACGCUCAAAUGGUGGAGAAUAAGGAGAUUUUAAGGAGGGAAGCAAAUUUAUCGGGAUAUGCUGGAGCGAAAUUCCCAAACUACCCUUCUGUCAAUAUCAAACCGAAUGUUGUGAAUAAUUAUCAAAAAAACAAAGGUAACAUUGUAUUUCCGAUGAGGACCAUUACCUUGCAAGGAUCAACGGCCAAUGAUCAUAAGAAGGAAGGGCCAUCCAAGCGUUUAUUAGAUGCCGAAUUUCAAGUCAAGAUAGAGAAGGGACUAUGUUUCAAAUGCGAUGAAAAGUACUAUUCGGGGCAUAAAUGUAAAACAAAAGAAAUAAGGGAGCAACGAAAGUUUGUGGUAAGGGCAAAUAACAUGGAAGAAGAAAUUAUAGAGAAAGACGAACAUGAGCAAAAGGAGUUGUGUUCUAUGGAGUUGAAAAGCGAAAUAGUAGGGGUAGUUGAAUUAUGUAUUACUUCCGUGGUGGGGCUGACGAAUCCUGGUACCAUGAAAGUAAGAGGGAAGAUCCAAGGAAGGGAAGCCAUUGUGAUGAUUAACUGCAGAGCCACGCAUAAUUUUAUCUCAGAUAAGCUGGUGUCAAUGCUGAAAUUGAACACGAAGGAUACCUCCAACUAUGAAGUUAUUCUUGGAUCCGGAACAGUCAUUAAAGGAAAAGGGAUAUGUGAGAAGGUGGAAGUUAACCUCGAUUGUUGGCCAAUAAUAUAAUUUUUUUUGUCAUUGGAGUUAGGAGGGGUGGAUGUAAUACUUGGGAUGCAAUGGUUGUACUCUUUAGGGGUGACUGAAAUGAAUUGGAAAAAUCUUAUUGUGACUUUCUUUUAUGAAAACCGUAAGGUGAUAAUUAAGGGGAUCUGAGUUAAACAAAAAUUCAAGUCAGUUUGAAGAGCUUGAAGAAAUCUUGGACCGUUUCAGACCAAGGAUAUUGGGUGGAAUGCAGAGCCUUGGAAGCUAGAAUUAUUGAGAUUGGCAGACAAGAAGAGGAGGCAACAAAUACAAGGCAGGAGAGUUCAAUCUGUGUUAGUAAGAUAUAAGGAUGUGUUCGAGUGGCCGGAAGAAUUACCCCAAGGAGGGAUAUUGAGCAUCAUAUACACCUGAAGGGAGGAACAUAUCCAGUAAACGUUAGGCCGUAUAGGUACAUGUUUCAACAGAAGGAAGAGAUGGAGAAACUGGUAGAUGAAAUGUUAUCUUCUGGAAUUAUUCGUCCCAAUACAAGUCCCUAUUCGAGUCUAGUGCUUUUGGUGAGAAAAAAAGAUGGAAAUUGGAGGUUUUAUGUUGACUACCAGGCACUCAAUAACGUAACAAUUCCAGAUAAGUUUACUAUCCCUAUUAUUGAGGAGCUUUUUGAUGAAUUGAAUGGUGCAAAUCUCUUUUUUAAAAUUGACCUUAAAGUUGGUUAUCACCAAAUUAGGAUGUGUAAUUAAGAUAUAGAAAAAAUAGCAUUUAGACCACAUGAAGGGCACUAUGUGUAAUCAAGAUAACUAAUGCACCAGCACCUUCUCAGUCCUUGUUGAACAAUUAUCAACAUGUGGAGUUGGUGUUAGAAGUGUUGAGAACUCACAAAUUGUAUGCUAACCAAAAGAUUGGAUAGAGUACCCAAUUCGAUAGGACCCUCCCCCCUCUCUGUUACUCUUUCUUUCAAGAAUACACAGAAAACUACUACUUCACCAAAAAGCUACCUUCCUCUCUCUUCCCUUUCUUAUUUAUAACUACACUCUCUACCUAUUAUGGUCCCCCUCCCAAAUGUCGCCCCACUCGUUGUGGUCCCCAUAUGCCGUUACAUUUCUCAACUAACUCAUUCUUCUUCUUUUCUUUAUCGUUUUUUCUCCUACUGUAUUGGUGUAUUAUGGGUGGUCUAACAUAGAUCCGGAGAAGAUAAGAUCUAUCAAGAAAUGGCCAAUUCCAUCUAAUGUACGAGAGGUUAGGGGAUUGACGGGAUAUUAUCAACGAUUUGUACAACAUUAUGGUUCCAUUGCAGCCCCUUUAACUCAGUUAUUGAAGCUUGGUUCUUUUAAAUGGACUGAAGAAGCUCAUGAAGCUUUCUUAAAGUUGCAAGAUAUUACGAUGACUCUACCAGUAUUAGCAUUGCCCGAUUUCAAUAUACCGUUUGAAGUGGAAACGGACUCCAUCUGGGUAUGGAGUGGGAGCGAUGUUGAUGCAAAACAAGAAACCAAAUGCUUUUUAUAGUCAGACCUUGGCAAUGAGGGAUCGAGCUAAGUCGGUUUAUGAGAGGGAGUUGAUGGCAGUAGUGUUGGCGGCCAUAUUUGAUUGGAAGACAGUUCAUAGUCAAGACUGACCAACGCUCUCUCAAAUUUUUACUUGAACAAAGAGUGAUAUAACCACAAUACCAGAAAUGGAUUGCGAAAUUGCUUGACUAUUCCUUCGAAACCCGGCUUGGAAAAUAAGGCAACAGAUGCCCUGUCUCGAGUACCACCUACGAUAUUCCUCAAUCACUUAACGGCCCCUACAUUGAUUGAUCUGAAAAUUAUUAAGGAAGAGGUUGAGAGGGAUGAGAAGUUGAAAGAAAUAAUCAUUCAGCUACAUAAUCAAGAAGUCAAAAAUUAUUCCUUGCAGCAAGGAUGCUUAGAUAUAAAGGAAGGUUGGUGAUUGCAAAGGCUUCCUCAUUGAUUCCCACCAUUAUGCAUACCUAUCAUGAUUCUGUCCUAGGGGGCAUUUCUUAUCCUAGGGGGCCUUUUGGGAUGUUUAAGAACCUACAAGAGAUUGACUGGAGAACUGGUUUGGGAUGGCAUGAAAUCAGAAGUUAAAAAAUAUUGUGAAGAAUGUGUCAUUUGCCAAAGAAAUAAGUCAUUGGCUCUUACACCUGCAGAGUUACUGGUUCCAUUGGAAAUUCCAAGUGUGGGAAGAUGUUUCCAUGGAUUUUAUUGAAGGGCUGCCAAAGUCGUUGCGGUAUGAAGUUAUCUUGGUGGUAGUGGAUCGAUAUGCCCACUUUCUAAGUCUAAAACGUCCAUUCAAUGCUGAAGGAGUGGCUGAACUGUUUGUUCAAGAAUAGUAAGGCUGCAUGGUUUUCCCCAAUCCAUUGUUUCCAAUUGUGACAAGAUAUUUCUGACUAACUUUUGGAGAGAGCUAUUUCGGUUAGCAGGCAUCAAAUUGAAUAGCAGUACAGCUUAUCAUCCACAAACGGAUAGGCAGACCAAGGUUGUCAAUAAAUCUGUUGCUACCUACGUUGUUUCUGUGGAGAGAGACCAAGGUUAUUAUGUAACUGACUCGGAAGGGACCACAGUGAGUGGAAAGGGGGGAUAUAAAUAGAAAGUGGAAUAGAGAGAAAAUCCCUUGAGUAUUUUGCGGAAGAAUUCAUUUCUGUAUAUUCUUGAAAGAGAGAGUAACAGAGUGAGAGCUUAGCUUUUCUUCAUCGAAUUGAACUUCAUAUUCAAUUCUAUUUCUAUAUUGUAAUUCCUACUACUUUCAAUAAAGUGAGUUCAUAUACUAUACAAUCUGUGUUGGAGGAUUGAGUUCCAACAAUUUGUUGCCUCUUAGAUUUCAGAACUUUCAAGCAAUUGUUUUAUAAGUGUCAUGCACCUUUUUAUGUAUGCCUCAUAAGAUAGGCACAUUGUUCCCGAACUGGAUGGGAAUCCAUUCAUAUUUAUGGAAGUCGCCAUUUUCUCAGGCUUACUGAGCUUGCCAUCUAUCACCUUAAAAAGCUUAAUUUCAACUUCAAUAUUUAUGGACAAUAAUUUUAUUUCUUUCCCCCUGCACAUGAUCUGCUUUGGACCAACUUUCGUGUCAUCUUUAUUCAAGUCCUGGAAUCCUCAACUCAUGAGUUAUGAUUAAGGCUAUUUAUGCUUGCUUUUCUAUUACCGAUUCAAACAUUCUGUGUCAAGAGAUGAUAUAUCUCUGAUUAUGUUGGCAGGAUUGGUAUAGAUGAGUGGUUACGCGUCCCUGCUGUGGAAGAUGUGUUUGCAAUAGGUGAUUGCAGUGGAUUCCUAGAGAGUACAGGGAAACAAGUUCUUCCAGCUUUGGCUCAGGUAAGUUAAGAUGCUCCCGAACAUUCUAGUUUUUCUGCUCAUUCAUAAAAUGCAAUUACGUAUUCCAACAGUAGUUAUUUUUCCCAAGAGAUGUCAUGAUUUUAUUGCAACCAUUUUUGGAUACUGAAGGUAGCAGAGCGCCAAGGCAAAUAUUUAGCCGCCUUGCUGAAUAAAAUUGGUAAAGAAGGUGGAGGGCGAGCAGGUAGUGGAAAAAACUUGGAACUUGGAGAUCCUUUUGUCUACAAGCACCUUGGAAGUAUGGCAACUAUUGGAAGAUACAAGGCCCUUGUCGACCUUAGGCAGAGUAAAGUAAGCAAACGACCAAGUUGCUCUAAGGCUACCCUACCUUUCUUUUUCACUCUAUGUAGUUGUGUGGCUUACUCUUUUGAGUAUUUUCUACAGGAAGCAAAGGGGAUAUCCAUGGCAGGGUUCCUCAGUUGGUUCGUUUGGCGUUCGGCUUAUCUAACACGUGUCAUAAGCUGGAGGAACCGAUUUUACGUGGCGGUGAACUGGGCAACAACUUUCAUCUUUGGACGCGAUAUAAGCAGAAUAUAGAAUUGGAUGUAAGUACUCAACAUCUCGCUUCCUCGUACUACUGCCACAGAAGUGAGUUGUUCUUCAAGACAAACCUCUUGCUGAUUAAUCUCUGUGUGGAUCUGAAGUAAAACCAUCAGAUUCUUGUGGUUCAUAAGAAAAAUUGAUGGCUGCUGCAAUUUCUCAUCAGAAGCUCACUGUACAGUUUAUUUCCACCAACUUAUUGUGUUAAAUCCAAAGCAUUAUUGCAUGUUCAAAGUAAUCCCAAAUGAAGCCAAUCAUAAGAAUUGUAAGUUUUGUACAACUUCAUCACUGCUUUUCAAUAAAGUUAUUUCAUUGACGAUUAUUUCAAUCCAUAUGGCUGCCCGAAUUCUAACAACUUCUCUGUCUAGUUCACUGUUCUACUUCUCUUUGUUAGAGAGAAAAAAAGGGGAAAGAAAAAGAAUAGUGGAACUAAAGAGUCUUGGAAGUGAUUGUGAAGAAUCAUCUCUAAGGUUUGAUGGAAAAACUGAGUUCUACAACUAAUAGAGAAUUUGCCAUCCUACAGAAUCUGAAAAGGAAAAUUAGUUCCCUUGCACCGAGAAAAUGAAUUAUUCAUCUCUACCAGAGUCAUCAAUCUGGAAAGACAUACUGGAUUGACAGCCGUACUCUUCUUCAACCAGCAAGUUGACUACAAAUGAUUUCUUUCACCUCGCCCAGACAGGGAAACCUUCCCUCGUGCUAUUUACAGAACACCUGAACAAUAGAGAAAACAAAAGGAAAUGAAAUCUGAUUCUUAAGAAUCAUUUCUAAAAAUGUAGAUACAAGCAAGGACAACUUUCAGUACCAAAUUAUCAUUGAAGAAAAGUUGAAAGUCCUCAGUGCUCCGGAGGUAGUUUAUGGUUAUGCAGCCCAGAAGCCAAGGGAUUGCAACGAUAUAAAAUUGUUGUGCAGUCAAACUGUAGUACCAAGAAGGUAUUGGCCUUCCGAGCUCGAGUAAAAUAUGUUUACCAGCCAUCACACCAUCGUUAUGAUCAAAACAUGUGCUGUUAAUAUGAGUUUUGUAGCAAUUUAUUUUGGCCGAUUUGGAGGGUGAUGUGAAAGAGUAACGUUGAUUGCAGGAAACUUUUGUAUCACCAGAAACCUAAUUGAUGUGGCAAUACCUUAGUGCAAUGAGUUUCUGGAUUACAUGUUUUGAUUCAUUCCUUCUUUCCCCUGAAGGUGUGGAAGCCUUUGGGAUUUUGUCACUUUAUCCUAAUUGGGUGUCGUCUAUUCUUCUUCGUGAGAAAUUUGAUUGUAAUUUUACUUGUGGUUUAAUAAUGUUUAUUUUUCAAAGAAAAAGAAGGUGGACGUGUUUUGUUCGUUAUAAACUUUAAUAAUUUAAAUGGGUACUUCAACUUUCAAUUUUCUAUUUAAUAUGUCCUUGGCUUAUUUAACAUUUCAAAAAAUCAAUAAAUCAAUUAGACAUACAAUACAACUAAAAAUUAAGUUGUAUCUAGAAAAGAUAUUAAAGUUCGUUAUGGUAACAAAAUCAGUUUUGAAUUCUUACUCAAAUGUCAAAUACAGCAACAAAUUAAUUAAUUAGUUUUUUUAAAAAAAAAUACUUUUUUUUUUUAGUCUUAAAAACUUGUUUGGAUUUUGAAAAUAUUCAGAAACAGAAAAUGUAUUUAUAAACUUAAAUUAUUAGAAUUUGGAUAAGUAUAAAUUUUUUAUCUAAGUUGAGCCUUUUCUCACGAUUCAAAUUUCCCUAAAAAUCGUUUCACCGUGACUUCAACUCCAACAAAUUCACACGGAUUAAUCAAAUUAGAACCAAAGAAUCAAACUCAACAGAAGCGAACGAUUGAGCAUAUUUACCAAAACGAAAUGCAUUAUUACCUGUAAGAACACGGAGAGUUGAAUUUGACGAUAAGCGUAUCGUUGUGUGUGAUUAUUCAAUCUCUGAUCUAUUUCCGAAUGAGUCAUAAGAGCGCUAGUUCCGCAUUAUUCAAACUGUAUUCUGCCGUAUGAUUUAAACAGGCGACAAUUUUCUGAUUGAAAUGGGUGGUGUUUGAGUAAUGAUAAACGAGAGAAUUUGGAGUGCGGAUCAGCUGAGAUGAAAUCGUAGAUAUCGAAAGAGAAAACAGAGAGCGACAACAAUGUACUCAUUAGCAAAAUUCCUCGAUUCAUUUCGCUUCGCUACACCUUCGGGCUUGUCUUUUUCAAUUUAAUUCAUGAUUAAAGAAUGAAGAUGAAUGAAUCCGAAUGCGCCUUCAAAUUAGGUUUCAAAUUUGAGUAGCUUGUGGGUGAAGGGAGGGAGUGUGGCACGCUGGAAGCACGUGUCUUUUUUAUUUUCCCUCUUUUAUUGAAGUUCAAGGCAUCUUGAACUUUGGACUUUCUACCAAAAAUACCCUACAAGUAUAUCCUUAUGCUAAGUUUUUUUUCUUUUCAAAAAUACUCUCCCAACUUUCCAAAAGUUUUAAAAAUACUUUUGUUCAAUACUUUAAAAGAUGUAUAAAUACUCAUAAAUGAUUGUAUAAUUUUUUAAAUUGAUGAAUAAAUAUUUUAAGUUUUUUUGGGAUAGACAACCGAUCGUGAUUGUUUAGAUAUUAAUACAUGAUCGUGUAAUGAAAAAAAGAAAAAGAAGUACAGAAUAUUUGAUAAUGAAAAAAUGAAAUUGCAAUGGACGACUAUUUUAGCAAUAAUAAUUAAGAAUAUAGCAACAUUUUAAAAAAAUUACAAAUAUAGCAAAAAUAUCAUUGAUAGACUUGUAUCGCUAAUAGACUUCAUAUGGUAUAUCAAUGAUAGACCAAUAUUUACAACGACUCAUAUGAUUGAUAGAAUUUGACAAAUUUUGCUAUAUUUGUAAAUCUUUUUAAAUUAUGCUAUAUAUUUAACUAAUUUGAAUUUAAUUGCUAAAUUUGCAACUAUUCCAUGAAAAAGUAAUAAGGAAAAGAAUAUUGUCUUUAUGAAAAAGAUGACGUUGAAGAGAAAUGACAUAGAAGGAUUAAAUUUCGUAGAAGGAUAUGAAAAAAUUUUGGAAUGGCAAAUAUAGAAUUUAUGAAAAAAAAUUAACAAGUUAUAGGACUUCAUAGACUUUUUUUAAUUUUGUUAUACGAGUAAUAAAUAUUUUUAUUUUUGUUCGUUAUAGGUAAAUUAUCCUACAUUUAACCUAAAUAGAUUUAAUAUGUUAUAAAAUAAAUUAAUAUUUGUAUACUAAAUAAUAUAAUAAUAUCUAUUAUCAUACAUACAACAAUUACGAAUAUGAGGAUUCAAACUUUUGAUCUUAACCUAAGGGUGUGCAUGCAAAUCAGGAACUAAGUUCAUUUGUGAUAGGACUAAUUAUUUUCUAUGGCUUUAAUUAAUAAAAGAUAAAAAUUAAUAACAACAAUAAUAAUAGAUUAAAAGAAUGGGUAAAUUUUAAAUUAAUUUUUUUUUAUAUGUAUAUAAAAGAUCAAUGACAUUAAAGUUUUUGAACUAUAACCAGAUCAUUAAAUGGAUGGAUAAAAUUUUAAAAGAAUUUAUAAUAAAAAAAAAGGAUGAAAUUUGAAAUGUAUUCAAAUAGAUGGAUUGUUAAGUUUUCAUUUGUAUGCCAAUUGAAACAUCAAUUUCAUGAUCGACUUUUAUCCUCUAAAUGAGUUUUUCAUAAGUAGUCAAUUAGAACCUAGUUCACUAAUUAAAGUAAAUAUUACAAAUAAAGAGAUGAGAGGGUGUAAAAAAGAAAGAAAGAAAGAAUGGAGAGCUCCAUAUCAAAUCUCUUUCUCAUCAUUUGAGCUUAACAAAUGUGUCUUCCUAUUUGCAAAAUUUAGGAAGAUAAAGGGUAUGGAAAGCUUUUUUUUAUAAUCAUGAACUAAAAAAAGUUUGAAAGAGUUGGAAUUGCAAGGAGAAAGCUCUCACUUCACCUUCAUUUAUAUUGGAUUUCAACCUAACUUUUCCUUUGUCAAGUGCUCUUCCCACUACCAACACCAUAAAAGAAAAGAAAAGAAAGAAAGAGUUAUCAUCAAAACAGAAAAUAUAUUUCUAAAGCGGUAAAUAAAGAUUGCCUUUUUGUAGUGCUCCAUAAUCACCACUCCCCACUUUCAAUUCUAGCUUUUUUAACCUUUUUGGUAUGCACUUGAGAAUGUAUUAUGAAGUAAUUCCAUGUAUUAUCCUUGUCUUUUAAAUUUCUUAUUGAUUGUCUCAAUAUGUAUAACUGUCUCAAGCUUUAAGAAUGGUGUUUUCUUUGUAAACUUCUUCAACCAGAUUGUGUCAAUUUUUUUAUUUGAUAAUCAUCCUGGGUUGGGAUCAAUAAGUAACUAAAAUGUCAUGAGUUCGAUCCAUAGUGGCCACCUAUCUAGAAAUUAAUUCAACACUCAAAUGUUGUAAGAUCAAGUUGGGUUGUUCCAUGAAGUGCGUAGAUUCACCCGAACACUCACUUAUAUAUAUAUAUAUAAAAAAAAAAUUCUUAUUUGAUCUUUUGAUGGUCAUUUUUUGUUUAUAUCUUAGUAUGUACAAGAGUAUAACAUUGGGUGAAACCAGGUUAGGAUAACAUUGCAACUUUAAAAAGAAUUUAAACAGUAGUAUUUAUAAUUUAGUCUUAAUUCUGAAUCAAACAUGUAGUGUUGUGAAUGGAUACUAUAAAUAUCAUUUGAACAUUGAGAAUUCAGAAUCACAUAAAGAAUAAGAAUGAGAUCAAAUGGUUUGAAAUAGGUGCACAAAAGAAAAGAAAUGUUGAAUAUAAAAUAUGUUAUUAUUCAAAUGAAAAGUAACUAGUUAUGGAAUGGGCAGAAACAUUUCUUCUGCCCAAAUUUGAUUAAUAGUACUCUGGAUACAAUAUUCUUUUAAGUUUGGGAAAGUCUCCCCUACCUAAUUAUGAUGAAUAUCAAUGAGCAAUUUUUAAAAAAAAUUAUAAAUAUAUAUAAUACCAGUAACCCGUUAAUUUGAAGCAAGAAAAAAAAAAAGCUAAACUCCAAAGCUCAAGCAACCAACUGUUCCUGUUCCAUGUACAUUUGCUUUGAAUCGCCAUUAUUGAGAUGACAAAGCAGCAGCUGCUGCUGCUCGUCCAUACUCAACUGCACAGCAUUUUCGGAUGGAGCAUCCUUCACCAGGGACUGAACCCAGGACACAUCUGGCUCGGGAGCAGUAGUGUGCAUCGUGGACGUCACUGGAGAACUGGUGCAAUUGUUUCGAAUCCCAAAUGAUGCGGACUUCUUUAACUUGUUCAGUUCUUCUCCACGAAUUCCCCAGUCUAGUUUUCCGUCAGGCGAACCCCAAUCAGACAGGUUCAAAGGCAUGGCAGUUGUGGAUGUACCUGGGGGUGAUAGUCCCGUAUGGCGGCUCACCAUACUACGUUCGAUAAAGCUCUGGCUACGCUUAGCAAAAGCAGCAGCUCUAGAACUCAAAACGCUGGCUGCAGUAGACACGGAUGGUUGAGACAACCUUGGAGGAGGGGACCCAAUGCUGUUACCAUAGCUCGAGAGGAAAGACUGAUUGAGGCUUUGGCGCAUCUGGAUUCCAGAAGGGGACUGCACCUGAGAUCCCACAGAAUCCAAUGAAAGUCCUUGUAAUUGAGGCAAAAUUGCAGGAUCUACAGACCCGAAAAAGUCCUCGAGGUUGGUCUGCUUCAUGCCUCCAAGUCCAUUCAGUUCUCCAUUUCUACUCCUUGGGGAAGGAAAAGAUGCAGGAGUUGGUAAGCCAUUGUUCCAUCUAGAAGGGGAAGAUAGACAGGACAUCUCAUCCAUUAGCUGUUGUUGUCUACGGCGUUGACUUUCGAGACCAAGUAACUCGACAUCUAAAUCCACGUCUCUUGCGCUCAAGGAAGCCUUUAGCCUGCUACCUGGAAGGUGCAGGGUUGGGGGAGCAAUAUUACACUGAGUCUGCCACAUGGUUCCACCCAUUGGAGAAGAAACUCCAGAAGGAGUUAAAGGUGGAGUUGACGAAGGAGGUAUCAAAGCUGAAGGAGAACCAAGGGUAAGUGAACUGAUCGACGCGAUGUCUAGUGAAGAACCACAUAUUGAUCUUGGAGACAGUACAGCAGAACCAGUUGAAGCAUACAAGGGGCGGAGCUCUUCUGGCUUGUGAGCAAAGAAACAGACUUUUCUGGUACAUCCGGUUUCAUCCUUGCAAAGACGGGUACGAUAUUGAGCAGGAUGGAGCCAACAUUCAAAAAUUCCAUGAGCAUAUUCACAGGCAUCCCCCUGCCUACAUGUUCCUUUUCUGAAUUCCGGACACGGGACACAGCUGUAAUGAUAUUUUCUUGGAUCCCGCCUCCUUGCAUUUUCGCCAGGGUGAACAAAUGGACACUCUGUCCAAUCAUGCGAGUAAGCUCUUGUACAAGGUUUGAUCUUAAAAGUAUACAUUCUAAACUCAUCCGUGCUAUAGAUUCCGUUCUUGAUGUCUGGAAGUGAGAGAUCAACUGGAUACUCUUUCUUCUCCGUCCCAUCUCGUGAAGCUCGAAGGGUUGAAAGCUCCAGUGGCUCCAAAGUUUCCCUCUCGUAAAAUAUUGCCUCAGAUGAGCUAAGACCUUCAUGACCAUUUAGCAAUUGUUGUAGUGUUUUUUUCCUUGAAUAAAAGGCUGAAGUAAAAUCAGGAGCAAUCAAAUCACCAGGCCGGUUACCGUUUGCAUCAACAGCACUUACAUCAGCGGAAGCAUCGAGCAAGAGUUUGACAACCUGAUCCACAACAGCAGAACCACCAGCAACAGCACAGUGAAGAGUCGUUACGCCAUCUGAACCACAAGCUCUAUUAACAUCGACACGACCACUGUGAAGGAUAUAAGACAGAACAUUCAGGCUCCCAAACAUGGCUGCAACCAUAAGAGGAGUCCUUUCUUCAUACCCCAUCUUUUUAGAACCAAAAAUCCUCCCAUACCACAAACUCGCCUCAUCAAUAUCAUGACCAUCUUCCUCAACAGCACUCCUAAAUCCAAUCAAAUCAUCUGUAGCUGAAAAUUCAAGCAAAACAGAGAUGCAAAAUCCCAAUCCCCCUCGUUUAAAUCCACCGUCCAUCACGAAGUUAGGGCUUGCAGAUUUCCUAUUGCAACCAUUACACAUCAUAAUCUAAUCCGUCUUAAGACCUCCAAAUUGCUACAGAAAAUAAUAAAUUUACAAGAAACACAAUCAGAAAUUGCAAUCAAUAAAAGGCAAAAAAAACCCAGAACAAGAAAGAAACCAAAACCCAAAAAGAAGGUAUAUUAGUUUAGAUUGGUGAAAACAUUAUCCAAAUCUUCAGCAAUCACUAAAAGAGAAAACAAAAUCAAGUAGAAAUGGAAAGAGAAGACAAAUUAAGACACCCAAAAAGCAAAACGACAUAACAAAAACAACCCCUGUUUUAGUUACCGGAAAAACAGCAAAAGGAAAAAGAAGAAUGAAAGAACAGAAACGGAUAAUACCCAAAAACUGAAAAACUGUACACAACACGAAAAUACUCAGAAUUCAAUCAAUUUAUUGCCAACAACAAACGAUUUAACUAACAAAAAACUUCAAAAGAAGAAAACCCCAUUUCAAAAUCAUGUUGAAACAACAAAAUAAACUUAUGAAAACACAAGAAAAGCUGGAGAAAAUUACCUGGUGAGAAAGAAAAAAGAUGAGAGAGCGGGAAUUGGGAGAUCGAAAGAGAAGGUGAAACAGGGCUAGAUUUUUGGCUAUGGAGAGUAAAGCGAUAGAAAGAAAGUAGGACUUUUCUUCCUUAGCUCUCUCGCCUUUAUUAGGUUGGAGUCAAAAAGACCGAACUACUUCUCUAUGCAUAAACCAAAGCUCUUUGGUCUUCGCCACCGUCCUCUUUCAAACUUUUUCUUUUUUUUUUCUUUUUUCUUUUUUCCUUUUCCCUUUUUCUUUUUAUAAUUAUAUUUUCUUUCUUGUCUUCUUCGUCUUUAUUUUCUCCUCUCCCAAAAUGAAACUCAAAUUCAAUCCCAAAUGAAAUGCAAACUCAAAUGCAGAAUUUAAAAAAUAAUUAAAAAAUUAUAAUAAAUAGUGUUUUGGUUGUUCUUUUUAAAUUAUGUCUCGGUCUUCUCUUCCUUUUAUUUACUCUCAUCUAUUUCAUUAAUUUUCUUUUAAAAUAACAAUCUACAUACAAAAUUUGAACAACAAAUAACCUAGUUAUUCUAUGCUUAGAAUAUGCUCGUAACCUGAGUUAAACUCUUGUUAGCUUAGAAGUUGGUUUUUCAAAAUAGUCUAUUUUGUUUAUAUUUUUAAUAUAAUAAAUUUUAUUUAAAUAAUAACAAAAUAUUUACCGCAUAAAUAUGCUUCUAGUAUUGAUAGGAUCCCAAAAUUUUCAUAUACUUUGAAAAUAUUUUAAUUUAUUUUAAAUUUUUAAAAACGUAUAUUGAAAAAUAUAUACAUAUUUUUUUCAUGGAUUUAUUAAUAUUGUCCAUCAAAUUCGAUUUAAAAUUAGGGUUAACCUUUCCUUUUAAUUCAAUACUGUUGGAUCAUAUACUUAAACUUUUCAGAUUUAGUUUUUUAUUCUCAAUAGAUUUUAAAUUUAAUAUUUUUAAGUUAUUUUUUUAUUAUAAUAGACUAAAUAAUAAUAAUUUUCAUGCAUGUGAAAAUGAUAGUAGAUAUAAAAGUGGACAUUUUAAAAAACAACAAGAUAUUAAAACUAUUUAUAAAAUAUAGAAAAAAUAAUCAAAUCAUCUAUAACUCUUUUAAAAUAACAAUUAUCCGUAAAAAACUCACGAUAACACAAAAUUUAUUGUCUUGAUUAAAAUUAAAUAUUUAAAGCAUGGCACAAAAUUUGAGAAGACUUUCUAAGUACAUGAGCUAAAAUAGUUUUUAUGAAAAAAACUUAAAUUUUAGUUUUUAAAAAAUAUUACUCGUAAAGUAUGGUGGUAGUUACAAUUAUAUUAAAAAUUAAGUUCUAAAACUUAUUUAAAUUUUAAAAUGGAGUUAUCCAAGUUGUAUAAUUAUACUAAUUAUAUAAGUUUGAUAAUUAAUUGUUAUCAUAUGUGGGUUUAAUUUUCACAACUAUUAUAAAUUUGAGAGUUAAAUUUUAAUAUUAUUUAAAAUUAAAAGGCCUAAUUAUUCUUAUUCAAGAUCAAACGUGCUAUUGUAACUAUCGUCAUACUAAAUAGGUGUUUUUUUUAAAAAAAAAUCACUAGUUGUAGAAGAUUAAAUUUGAGAAUUAUUAUAACUAUAAAAACUAUUAUUAGGAUGAGUUUGAUUUAAUUUUUCAAAUAAAUUGUAUAAAAAGUUGUGAUGAUUGUGAAAAUUUAUUUUAAAUAUUUUAACAACUUUUUGUAACACUUCCAAAAAAAGAUUGAAACUAUUUUUAUAAAAAAAUAACAACCAUGAUGAAGAAGAACUUUUGGAACAAAAUAUUUUGUAAAAAUGAUCCAAAUCUAAAUAAUUGAAAAGUGGAGAAUUAAAUAGAAAAAAGUAGAGGGCUAAAAUCGUAAUGUUGAUCAAUAAUGUGGCACGCCCACAAAAGGGAAAUGGAUAUCUUUUGAUUUUGAAUUACUUUGGGUGCCACGUGUUGGCGUUUGAGUGGAAGAAAUCGUGCACCAAAGUGACCGUAUCAAUACUUCGGAUCAUCACGCCUUACGCGUUUUUGGUCUGCAAGAAUUACGUGGAAUUUCACGCACCGUCGCCCUUUGUAAAAGUUUAAAACCCAUUUUCCCUAUUUUUUAAAUACCUAAAUUCACUUUCUUUUUUUGUUUUGUUAAAAUUCAAUUUUCACCCUUGAAAACGCUCUCAAAAUUUGAGGAUGGAACAGAAAUUUCAAUAUCUUACAUUUUGUUUUUUAACUAGUUUUUUAUUUGUUGAUAUUUGAAAAUUAAGAGCGGGUUUGGUAACGUUUUUGUUUUUUGUUUUUUAUUUUUAAAAAAACAGAGGUGUUUGGUAAUGUUUUUUUAUUUCUCGUUCUAAAGAAAAUAGAAACAUUUCUCAUUUUAUAACGAAUUAUUGAAAAAAAAUAGUUUUUUCUGUUCUGUUUUUCAAUUAUUUUUAUUGGUUUUUUUCUUUUUAUUUUUUUUAAUUAUUUUUAUUGGUUUCUUUUUUUUUCUCAAUUAUUUCUAUUGAUUUUUUCCUUUUUCUCAAUUAUUUCUAUAGACUUUUAUUUCUCUUUUUUUCACAAUUAUUUUUAUCGAUUUUCUUUUUCUUUUUUUCAAUUAUUUUUAUUAGUUUCCUUUUUCUUUUUCUCAAUUAUUUUUCUUUUUCUUUUUCUUUUUCUAUUUCCUUUUCCAUUUUUUCACUUGAUUUUCUUCUUCUUCCUUUUAUUUUCAUCUUCUUCCCCAAAUAACCAGUCUCCACAAGGUUUCCUUUUUCUUCCUCUUAUUGUCUUCUUCAUCUUCCUCUCUGCCUCUCAUCAUCUUUCUCUACACAACGUCUUCCUCUUCGUCGGAUCUGGGUUUUCCUUUUUCUAUUCGUGCAUAUAUGAAUUUUCUCUAUGGGUUUUCACCGAAUAUGUUGGUUUUUGCCAGAUUUGUGUUUUAACUGUGGCUCUUGUCUUCCUUUUCAUCGUGGAUUUUAGUCUUCCUCUUCAUCUUGGGUUUUCGUCUUCCUCCUCGUCGGCUCUGUCCUUCAUAUCUCAAUCUUCAUCUUAAUCUUCAUAAGAUUAUUAAAAGACUUUCCUAUCUAAGGUUUGAUAAAGUAAGUGGUGUAAUGUUCAAUUGAAUUAUAUGUAAAUAAAAUAACAUGAAUAAAAUAAAAAAUAAAUCUGGAGAAAAAAAAAAAAAAAACAAGAAAUAGUCGUCAAACACAUUUCAGUUUUUUUU